CCUACGGGUGGCUGCAGUGGGGAAUAUUGGACAAGGGGGGCAACCCUGAUCCAGCCAUGCCGCGUGUGUGAAGAAGGCCCUCGGGGUGUAAAGCACUUUCAGUGAGGAAGAACGCCUGGUGGUUAAUACCCAUCAGGAAAGACAUCACUCACAGAAGAAGCACCGGCUAACUCCGUGCCAGCAGCCGCGGUAAUACGGAGGGUGCGAGCGUUAAUCGGAAUUACUGGGCGUAAAGCGCGCGUAGGUGGCUUGAUAAGCCGGUUGUGAAAGCCCCGGGCUCAACCUGGGAACGGCAUCCGGAACUGUCAAGCUAGAGUGCAGGAGAGGAAGGUAGAAUUCCCGGUGUAGCGGUGAAAUGCGUAGAGAUCGGGAGGAAUACCAGUGGCGAAGGCGGCCUUCUGGACUGACACUGACACUGAGGUGCGAAAGCGUGGGUAGCAAACAGGAUUAGAUACCCUAGUAGUC
This 465-nucleotide ribosomal RNA is filed under the name Vreelandella stevensii. Its description in RNAcentral is "partial 16S ribosomal RNA". It matches the Rfam family "Bacterial small subunit ribosomal RNA", at positions 338 to 795 of the family's 1533-position model. Lineage: Bacteria; Pseudomonadati; Pseudomonadota; Gammaproteobacteria; Oceanospirillales; Halomonadaceae. The record is from RNAcentral.